CCCUUAGAUGUUCUGGGCCGCACGCGCGCUACACUGCUGCAUUCAACGAGUUUCUUCCUGGUCCGAGAGGAAUGGGUAACCUUUUGAAAGUGCAUCGUGAUAGGGAUAGACUAUUGCAAUUAUUGGUCUUCAACGAGGAAUUCCUAGUAGACGUAGUUCAUCAGACUGCAUCGAUUACGUCCCUGCCCUUUGUACACACCGCCCGUCGCUCCUACCGAUUGAAUGCUCAGGUGAGCCAUUCGGACUUUCAUCAUGCUGGUUUCCAGUUUUGAUGAAGGAAAGUCUUGCGAACCUUAUCAUUUAGAGGAAGGAGAAGUCGUAACA
This 324-nucleotide ribosomal RNA is filed under the name uncultured eukaryote. RNAcentral describes it as "partial 18S ribosomal RNA". It matches the Rfam family "Eukaryotic small subunit ribosomal RNA", at positions 1470 to 1796 of the family's 1831-position model. The record is from RNAcentral.